UGUCUAUGACAGCCCUGGAGACAGAGUUGCUGACCAGAAUCGGAAAGGAGGGUGCAGGCGGUGAACAUGCAGAGCCCCGUUCCUCGGUUUUUCCGUAGACACUGAGCACUCUGGGGGCUCUUGGCCCCCCAGCCCUCACUCCGGCCAAGGCGGUCUCUGGAGGCAGCCCUGAUGGGACCAGCGCAUCUCAUCAACCCAGAAUUCAGAACCCUGAACUUCACUUCACUUGCCUGUGUCUGUAAUCCCUACAGACACCUCCGGGGAAGAAGAACUUCCCUCGACCGCGGGGACUCGCCCAACCUGGGAACCUCUGGGGCCCGAGAGCCAAGAAAGACCCCCUUCCUUGCUCUUUUCCCGGGGAUGCAGAAGUCAGCGGACGUCCCAGGAAUCUGCAGCCUCUUCACCCCCGCACAACACAGGCACAGUCCUCGCUUUGCACCCCGCUGUGUUUCCCACGCCGAGGGCACAGUUGGCACCUUCUGGAUACUCGUACCCAGGCUUGGACCGGAGAAGAGAAUGGCAACCCACUCCAGUACCCUUGCCUGGAAAAAUCCCAAGGAUGGAGGAGCCUGCACUGGGUACAGGUAUGAUGAGAUGUUCCACUGAGCAUGCUCCUAUAUGUUUGUGUACUGCCUCUCCAGUAGGAAGAAAGGCCUUGGCCCUCCCCCUAAAAUCUCUCUUCAUUCCUCCUGUACCUCCCACACACCAUGGCACAGCUGUCACCAGUGUGCCUGUUUGGGAAGAGAGACCUGCAGCUGCAGGCUUGGAGAAAGGUUUUUAAUUAAAACCACAAUCUGUUUAAGUAUUUAUUGGGCUCUGUGACUUUAAUUAUUUUCUAGGGAAAAACAGAAAAAUCCACAUUUGCAUAUGGGAAGACUGUUGAUUUCAGAGGAAAGUAGCAACCUGUGGCAGUUUGCUGGAGGCAACUGGGAGGAAUUUCCUGAAUGGUUCAAAUGAAGCUCGACAUUAUUAAUAAGCUGGAAUCCAGUCCAUGACCUUCCUCCCAGCGCUUUCAUGAAAUUAGCUUAAC
Molecule: long non-coding RNA, 1030 nt
Filed under: Bos indicus x Bos taurus (hybrid cattle)
Lineage: Eukaryota; Metazoa; Chordata; Mammalia; Artiodactyla; Bovidae
Description: lncRNA (ENSBIXG00000002399.1)
Source: RNAcentral